UGUGAUUUUGGGAAUGCAACCCACACUCUGUGCCUCACUAACCCUCUGCGAUGAGGACAAUAAGUGUCUGCCUCGGGGAGCAGUGGAUUGUAUGAGAAGAUUCACAGGACAAAGGGAGAAGAGUCCUCCCUCAGCGCCCGGAACGCGGAAUUUACCCCAUAGACCUGCCUGAAGAUGUGGCACCAGAUUUGCCAUCAGCACUGCACAUAUAAACCCAAAUAUUGCUCAUAAAGGAUGCCCUUUGGUCUCCAGUUGCCUGCUUGUAUUUAUCUGGCAACUUUAAAAGGAGUUACUCUUGCUACACAAUACCAGAUGAGCAAAUGGGUUCUGAAGGGUUACAUGAAUUGCUCAUCACCAGGAAUACAUCUCCUGCAAGGGUUGGACGCGAUUGCAAAAAAUGGGAGAAAAAAACGAGUGGAGGAGAAAAGGAAGACGAUGGUCCUCGGCGUUUUCGCCGUCCUUUCAAUCUCUCACGUUUCCUCCCUCUCUCGGGUCCUGUGACCUUGCGAGGACUCCAUGGCGCGAGCCGGAGCCCUGCCCAUUCCUCACCCACCGCUCAGACCCCGCUCUCCAGAAGG
Choloepus didactylus (southern two-toed sloth) is the source of this 578-nucleotide long non-coding RNA. RefSeq lists it as uncharacterized. The record is from RefSeq and is a predicted model, not a curated record. The transcript is spliced from 5 exons. NCBI's taxonomy places the organism in Eukaryota, Metazoa, Chordata, Mammalia, Pilosa, Megalonychidae.